This 465-nucleotide ribosomal RNA is filed under the name Vreelandella stevensii. RNAcentral's name for it is "partial 16S ribosomal RNA". It matches the Rfam family "Bacterial small subunit ribosomal RNA", at positions 338 to 795 of the family's 1533-position model. Lineage: Bacteria; Pseudomonadati; Pseudomonadota; Gammaproteobacteria; Oceanospirillales; Halomonadaceae. The record is from RNAcentral.
CCUACGGGGUGCAGCAGUGGGGAAUAUUGGACAAUGGGCGAAAGCCUGAUCCAGCCAUGCCGCGUGUGUGAAGAAGGCCUUCGGGUUGUAAAGCACUUUCAGUGGGGAAGAAAGCCUUGGGGCUAAUACCCUCGAGGAAGGACAUCACCCACAGAAGAAGCACCGGCUAACUCCGUGCCAGCAGCCGCGGUAAUACGGAGGGUGCGAGCGUUAAUCGGAAUUACUGGGCGUAAAGCGCGCGUAGGCGGUCUGAUAAGCCGGUUGUGAAAGCCCCGGGCUCAACCUGGGAACGGCAUCCGGAACUGUCAGGCUAGAGUGCAGGAGAGGAAGGUAGAAUUCCUGGUGUAGCAGUGAAAUGCGUAGAGAUCGGGAGGAAUACCAGUGGCGAAGGCGGCCUUCUGGACUGACACUGACGCUGAGGUGCGAAAGCGUGGGUAGCAAACAGGAUUAGAUACCCCGGUAGUC